Symphalangus syndactylus (siamang) is the source of this 533-nucleotide long non-coding RNA. RefSeq lists it as uncharacterized. Lineage: Eukaryota; Metazoa; Chordata; Mammalia; Primates; Hylobatidae. The record is from RefSeq and is a predicted model, not a curated record.
UCUCCGUCUCAAACUCCAGCCUGGCCGACAGAGAGAGACUCCGUCUCAAACUCCAGCCUGGCCGACAGAGAGAGACUCCGUCUCAAACUCCAGCCUGGCCGACAGAGAGAGACUCCGUCUCAAACUCCAGCCUGGCCGACAGAGAGAGACUCCAUCUCAAAAAAAAGGGAGAAUAAAAGAAUGGGUUCUGCCAAUUGAUGGAGGAAGCUUCUAUUAAAAACUCCAAUGGGAUGAGAAGAAUUUUAAUUACGGCUUAAUCAGCAGCACAGCCACCAAGCAUAUAAAUUAUCAUGCACAUCGUGCUAAAAAUAUCCAGUUUCCUUUAUCCCCACAACUUUAUACUGACAGCACUUAUGUGAUAAUGUUGUACCUGCCAGUCUUUAAACUUCUUUGUUUUACUGGCAAAUUUCAGCAUGAGCCUUUGCUAAGGCCAUUAACAGCAUUGACGCUUUGUGUACUUAUCCAAAUAUGUAAAUAUGGUCUACACAAUAAAACGGCUCCAAAUAAAAACUGGUGAAAAUUAUCUGACAUUC